This 24-nucleotide ribosomal RNA is filed under the name Triticum urartu. RNAcentral's name for it is "partial 18S ribosomal RNA". The record is from RNAcentral. Lineage: Eukaryota; Viridiplantae; Streptophyta; Magnoliopsida; Poales; Poaceae.
AGGUAACCUGCGGAAGGAUCAUUG